This 253-nucleotide ribosomal RNA is filed under the name uncultured bacterium. RNAcentral's name for it is "partial 16S ribosomal RNA". It matches the Rfam family "Bacterial small subunit ribosomal RNA", at positions 524 to 776 of the family's 1533-position model. The record is from RNAcentral.
UACGAAGGGAGCUAGCGUUGUUCGGAAUGACUGGGCGUAAAGGGCGCGUAGGCGGACAUCUAAGUCAGGGGUGAAAUCCCAGGGCUCAACCCUGGAAUUGCCUUUGAUACUGGACGUCUCGAGUUCGGGAGAGGUGAGUGGAAUUCCGAGUGUAGAGGUGAAAUUCGUAGAUAUUCGGAGGAACACCAGAAGCGAAGGCGGCUCACUGGCCCGAUACUGACGCUGAGGCGCGAAAGCGUGGGGAGCAAACAGG